Labrus mixtus (cuckoo wrasse) is the source of this 193-nucleotide small nuclear RNA. RefSeq annotates it as U2 spliceosomal RNA. The record is from RefSeq and is a predicted model, not a curated record. Lineage: Eukaryota; Metazoa; Chordata; Actinopteri; Labriformes; Labridae. The transcript has a single exon.
AUCACUUUCUAUGUAUUUGUGCUUGGUCUUCAGCAAUUGGCUGAGACGAAGUGUAGUAGCUGUUCUUAUCUUAUCUGAUACAUCCUCUAGCCGGGGACCGUAUAUUAAAUUGAUUUUAGGACCUGCAGAUGGUACAGGUCAACUCCAUGCAUUGACUUGGUAUUGUAGCCUCUCUAGGAACAUUGCACCUCCC